CAUGUUUGUUGUUAUGGCUGUUUCUACUUCUGUUCAGAAGGCAACCCAGCUGAUAGAUAGAGUUUCAGUGACAUGAAGAGUGUGACGUGAAAAUGCCGUGUGUAUGCAUACAUGUUCCAGUUCUGUUUGAUGCCUUACUAAAUUCAUCACCCAUAUGAUAAAGCAUCAGGAAAUCUCAACAUGGGGAGUAGUAAUGCUGUUGGUUGCUCUGAUUCCAUUUUUAC
Molecule: long non-coding RNA, 224 nt
Organism: Daphnia pulex (common water flea)
Lineage: Eukaryota; Metazoa; Arthropoda; Branchiopoda; Diplostraca; Daphniidae
Exons: 3
Source: RefSeq, a predicted model, not a curated record